RNAcentral lists this ribosomal RNA (468 nucleotides) under uncultured bacterium. RNAcentral's name for it is "partial 16S ribosomal RNA". It matches the Rfam family "Bacterial small subunit ribosomal RNA", at positions 28 to 507 of the family's 1533-position model. The record is from RNAcentral.
GUCGAACGCUGGCGGCGUGCUUAACACAUGCAAGUCGAACGGAAACGCCCUGCUUUUGUGGGGUGCGCGAGUGGCGAACGGGUGAGUAACACGAAAGUAACCUGCCCUGGACUUUGGGAUAACUUCAGGAAACUGGGGCUAAUACCGGAUAGGAGCUCCUGAUGCAUGGUGGGGGUUGGAAAGUUUAGGCGGUGGGGGUUAGACUCGCGGCUUAUCAGUUUGUGGGUGGGGGAGUGGCAUACGAAGGCUUUGACGGGUAGCCGGCAUUGGAGCGUGGCCGGCGACAUUGGGACUGCGGUACGGCGCAGACGGCAACGGGGGACAGCAGUGGGAAGCAUUGCACAAUGAGGCGGCGCGUGGUGCAGAGGCGUCGCGUGCGGGAUGACGGCCUUCGGGUAGUAAACCGCUUUCGCCUGUGACGCAGCGUGAGUGACGGUAAUGGAUGAAUAAGCACCGGCUAACUACGUG